Chiloscyllium plagiosum (whitespotted bambooshark) is the source of this 601-nucleotide non-coding RNA. Lineage: Eukaryota; Metazoa; Chordata; Chondrichthyes; Orectolobiformes; Hemiscylliidae. The record is from RefSeq and is a predicted model, not a curated record.
GGUCCUGGGCAAUUAAUAUGUGUGGACAUAGUGGUCUCCUUGCUCUUUUAUUGGCUGAGUAUAUGAAAGUUUGAGAUCAAUGACUCCACAAAUAUGAAGGGAAUCACAGGAUAUAGGUAUAGAGCAGCAAAGUGAAGCUGUGGUAAAAGAAGAAACAUAUUUCAUUGACUGGUGGGGCAAGCUUGAGGAGCAUAUGGUCAAAUCCUGCUCCUCAUUCUUAUUUUGUUAUAUCUCUCUUGUUUUUCAGGAAAUUAUUUUCUAUAUUUCAAUCAUGGAACACAUUAGAACCUCCAAAAGAAAUUUAUUGCUUGAAAUUAUAUUCUUAAAGUUACAACAACCAACAGAUGGAUUAUUCCUCUUGAUGCAAACAUACCAAUCAAAUGACAAGGAUUUGUGAAACAAUAAUUUUUUUGAAGAAUUGUUAUUAAGCCUGGAUGAAAGUAAAGAGUUGAUCAGUGCUUAGAGAAGGUUAACAGCACAAAAGUGGGACUCCUUGAGGACGGGAAUACCUUGCGGAGACCUUGCAGAAGCCUGGAAGUUGUGCUUGACACCCCAAUAUAUAGUAAUUUCUUUUUAUUCUUAUUGUAAUGAAACAAGGUAC